Molecule: ribosomal RNA, 451 nt
Filed under: uncultured bacterium
Lineage: Bacteria
Description: partial 16S ribosomal RNA
Rfam family: Bacterial small subunit ribosomal RNA
Source: RNAcentral
GUGGGGAAUAUUGGACAAUGGGGGGAACCCUGAUCCAGCCAUGCCGCGUGUGUGAAGAAGGCCUUUUGGUUGUAAAGCACUUUAAGCGAGGAGGAGGCUACCGAGAUUAAUACUCUUGGAUAGUGGACGUUACUCGCAGAAUAAGCACCGGCUAACUCUGUGCCAGCAGCCGCGGUAAUACAGAGGGUGCAAGCGUUAAUCGGAUUUACUGGGCGUAAAGCGCGCGUAGGUGGCCAAUUAAGUCAAAUGUGAAAUCCCCGAGCUUAACUUGGGAAUUGCAUUCGUUACUGGUUGGCUAGAGUAUGGGAGAGGAUGGUAGAAUUCCAGGUGUAGCGGUGAAAUGCGUAGAGAUCUGGAGGAAUACCGAUGGCGAAGGCAGCCAUCUGGCCUAAUACUGACACUGAGGUGCGAAAGCAUGGGGAGCAAACAGGAUUAGAAACCCCUGUAGUCC